RNAcentral lists this ribosomal RNA (549 nucleotides) under Pseudomonas nitroreducens. Its description in RNAcentral is "bacterial SSU rRNA". It matches the Rfam family "Bacterial small subunit ribosomal RNA", at positions 40 to 583 of the family's 1533-position model. Lineage: Bacteria; Pseudomonadati; Pseudomonadota; Gammaproteobacteria; Pseudomonadales; Pseudomonadaceae. The record is from RNAcentral.
CGUUACGUCYGCUAUCAUGCAAGUCGAGCGGAUGAUGGGAGCUUGCUCCUGGAUUCAGCGGCGGACGGGUGAGUAAUGCCUAGGAAUCUGCCUGGUAGUGGGGGACAACGUUUCGAAAGGAACGCUAAUACCGCAUACGUCCUACGGGAGAAAGCAGGGGACCUUCGGGCCUUGCGCUAUCAGAUGAGCCUAGGUCGGAUUAGCUAGUUGGUGGGGUAAAGGCCUACCAAGGCGACGAUCCGUAACUGGUCUGAGAGGAUGAUCAGUCACACUGGAACUGAGACACGGUCCAGACUCCUACGGGAGGCAGCAGUGGGGAAUAUUGGACAAUGGGCGAAAGCCUGAUCCAGCCAUGCCGCGUGUGUGAAGAAGGUCUUCGGAUUGUAAAGCACUUUAAGUUGGGAGGAAGGGCAGUAAGUUAAUACCUUGCUGUUUUGACGUUACCAACAGAAUAAGCACCGGCUAACUUCGUGCCAGCAGCCGCGGUAAUACGAAGGGUGCAAGCGUUAAUCGGAAUUACUGGGCGUAAAGCGCGCGUAGGUGGUUUGG